Molecule: ribosomal RNA, 496 nt
Filed under: uncultured bacterium
Lineage: Bacteria
Description: partial 16S ribosomal RNA
Rfam family: Bacterial small subunit ribosomal RNA
Source: RNAcentral
GAUGAACGCUGGCGGCGUGCCUAAUACAUGCAAGUCGAGCGAACAGACGAGGAGCUUGCUCCUCUGACGUUAGCGGCGGACGGGUGAGUAACACGUGGAUAACCUACCUAUAAGACUGGGAUAACUUCGGGAAACCGGAGCUAAUACCGGAUAAUAUAUUGAACCGCAUGGUUCAAUAGUGAAAGACGGUUUUGCUGUCACUUAUAGAUGGAUCCGCGCCGCAUUAGCUAGUUGGUAAGGUAACGGCUUACCAAGGCAACGAUGCGUAGCCGACCUGAGAGGGGAGACGGCAACAGUGAAACUGAGACAGGGUCCAGACCCCGACGGGGGGCAGCAGUGGGGAAUCUUCCGCAAGGGGCGAAAGCCUGACGGGGAAACGCCGGGGGGGUGAUGAAGGUCUUCGGAUCGUAAAACUCUUUUAUUAGGGAAAAACAAAUGUGUAAGUAACUAUGCACGUUUGGACGGUACCUAAUCAAAAAGCCACGGCUAACAACGG